GACGAACGCUGGCGGCGUGCUUAACACAUGCGAGUCGAACGGUGAACCUCUGCGGAGGGGCUCCGUGGCUAACGGGUGAGUAACACGUUGGCAAGCUGCCCCCGUCUCUGGGAUAACUCCAAGAAAUCGGGACUAAUACCGGAUGUUCACCGCUUCUCGCAUGGGUGGUGGUGGAAAGGUUUUCCGGCUGUGGAUGGUCACGCGGCCUAUCAGCCUGUUGGUCGGGUAGUGGCCUACCAAGGCAACGAGGGAUAGCCGGCCUUAGAGGGGAGCCAGCGACCCUGCGCCUGAGACACGCCGCAGUCUGCUACCGGAGGCAGUGGGGGAAAGUAUGACGCAGUGGGCGCGAGCCUGUCGCGACGGCGUCCCGUGGGGAAUGACGGCCUUCGGGGUAUAAACCUCUUUCAGCAGGGACGAAGCGCAAGUGACGGUACCUGCAGAAAAAGCACCGGCUAACUACGUG
This 463-nucleotide ribosomal RNA is filed under the name uncultured bacterium. RNAcentral describes it as "partial 16S ribosomal RNA". It matches the Rfam family "Bacterial small subunit ribosomal RNA", at positions 28 to 507 of the family's 1533-position model. The record is from RNAcentral.